UACGAAGGGGGCGAGCGUUGUUCGGAAUUACUGGGCGUAAAGGGCGCGUAGGCGGCGACCCAAGUCAGAUGUGAAAGUCCUGGGCUUAACCUGGGGACUGCAUUUGAUACUGGGUUGCUUGAAUUCGGGAGAGGAUAGCGGAAUUCCCAGUGUAGAGGUGAAAUUCGUAGAUAUUGGGAAGAACACCAGUGGCGAAGGCGGCUAACUGGUCCAGAUCUGACGCUGAGGUGCGAAAGCGUGGGGAGCAAACAGG
RNAcentral lists this ribosomal RNA (253 nucleotides) under uncultured bacterium. RNAcentral's name for it is "partial 16S ribosomal RNA". It matches the Rfam family "Bacterial small subunit ribosomal RNA", at positions 524 to 776 of the family's 1533-position model. The record is from RNAcentral.